This 506-nucleotide ribosomal RNA is filed under the name uncultured bacterium. RNAcentral's name for it is "partial 16S ribosomal RNA". It matches the Rfam family "Bacterial small subunit ribosomal RNA", at positions 29 to 523 of the family's 1533-position model. The record is from RNAcentral.
AGUGAACGCUGGCGGUAGGCCUAACACAUGCAAGUCGAACGGCAGCACAGGAGAGCUUGCUCUCUGGGUGGCAAGUGGCGGACGGGUGAGGAAUACAUCGGAAUCUACUCUGUCGUGGGGGAUAACGUAGGGAAACUUACGCUAAUACCGCAUACGACCUACGGGUGAAAGCAGGGGACCUUCGGGCCUUGCGCGAUUGAAUGAGCCGAUGUCGGAUUAGCUAGUUGGCGGGGUAAAGGCCCACCAAGGCGACGAUCCGUAGCUGGUCUGAGAGGAUGAUCAGCCACACUGGAACUGAGGCAGGGUCCAGACUCCUACGGGAGGCAGCAGUGGGGAAUAUUGGACAAUGGGCGCAAGCCUGAUCCAGCCAUACCGCGUGGGUGAAGAAGGCCUUCGGGUUGUAAAGCCCUUUUGUUGGGAAAGAAAUCCAGCUGGCUAAUACCCGGUUGGGAUGACGGUACCCAAAGAAUAAGCACCGGCUAACUUCGUGCCAGCAGCCGCGGUAA